This 253-nucleotide ribosomal RNA is filed under the name uncultured bacterium. Its description in RNAcentral is "partial 16S ribosomal RNA". It matches the Rfam family "Bacterial small subunit ribosomal RNA", at positions 524 to 776 of the family's 1533-position model. The record is from RNAcentral.
UACGUAGGGUGCGAGCGUUACUCGGAAUUACUGGGCGUAAAGGGUGCGCAGGCGGCGUCGCAAGUCAGGCGUGAAAUCCCCGGGCUUAACCUGGGAACUGCACUUGAAACUACGAUGCUGGAGUAUGGCAGAGGGAGGUGGAAUUCCACGUGUAGCGGUGAAAUGCGUAGAGAUGUGGAGGAACACCGAUGGCGAAGGCAGCCUCCUGGGCCAAUACUGACGCUCAUGCACGAAAGCGUGGGGAGCAAACAGG